GAGUUUGAUCCUGGUUCAGAUUGAACGCUGGCGGCAUGCCUAACACAUGCAAGUCGAGCGGCAGCGCGGGGGCAACCCUGGCGGCGAGCGGCGGACGGGUGAGUAAGGCAUCGGAAUCUGCCCUGAUGUGGGGGAUAACGUAGGGAAACUUACGCUAAUACCGCAUACGACCGAGAGGUGAAAGCGGGGGACCGAAAGGCCUCGCGCAGCAGGAUGAGCCGAUGUCCGAUUAGCUGGUUGGUGGGGUAAAGGCCUACCAAGGCGACGAUCGGUAGCUGGUCUGAGAGGAUGAUCAGCCACACUGGGACUGAGACACGGCCCAGACUCCUACAGGAGGCAGCAGUGGGGAAUAUUGGACAAUGGGGGCAACCCUGAUCGAGCAAUGCCGCGUGUGUGAAGAAGGCCUUCGGGUUGUAAAGCACUUUUAUCGGGAGCGAAACGCGCCAGACUAAUAUUCUGGUGAACUGACGGUACCCGAGGAAUAAGCACCGGCUAACUCCGUGCCAGCAGCCGCGGUAAUACGGAGGGUGCAAGCGUUAAUCGGAAUUACUGGGCGUAAAGCGUGC
This 566-nucleotide ribosomal RNA is filed under the name uncultured Lysobacteraceae bacterium. RNAcentral describes it as "bacterial SSU rRNA". It matches the Rfam family "Bacterial small subunit ribosomal RNA", at positions 9 to 570 of the family's 1533-position model. The record is from RNAcentral. Lineage: Bacteria; Pseudomonadati; Pseudomonadota; Gammaproteobacteria; Lysobacterales; Lysobacteraceae.